UGGGGAAUAUUGCACAAUGGGCGCAAGCCUGAUGCAGCCAUGCCGCGUGUGUGAAGAAGGCCUUCGGGUUGUAAAGCGCUUUCAGCGGGGAGGAAGGCGUUAAGGUUAAUAACCUUGGCGAUUGACGUUACCCGCAGAAGAAGCACCGGCUAACUCCGUGCCAGCAGCCGCGGUAAUACGGAGGGUGCAAGCGUUAAUCGGAAUUACUGGGCGUAAAGCGCACGCAGGCGGUUUGUUAAGUCAGAUGUGAAAUCCCCGGGCUCAACCUGGGAACUGCAUCUGAUACUGGCAAGCUUGAGUCUCGUAGAGGGGGGUAGAAUUCCAGGUGUAGCGGUGAAAUGCGUAGAGAUCUGGAGGAAUACCGGUGGCGAAGGCGGCCCCCUGGACGAAGACUGACGCUCAGGUGCGAAAGCGUGGGGAGCAAACAGG
This 429-nucleotide ribosomal RNA is filed under the name Chloroflexota bacterium. Its description in RNAcentral is "Chloroflexi bacterium partial 16S ribosomal RNA". It matches the Rfam family "Bacterial small subunit ribosomal RNA", at positions 355 to 776 of the family's 1533-position model. Lineage: Bacteria; Bacillati; Chloroflexota. The record is from RNAcentral.